UUCGGGCUCCGCCGAUCAUCCCACCUUUGUGUACCUACCUCUGUAUGUUUUGGCGGGCCGCGGUUCUCCGCGGCGCCCCCUCCCCGGGGGGUGGCCAGCGCCCAGCCAGAGGACCAUCAAACUCCAGUCAGUAAACGAUGCAGUCUGAAAAACAUUUAAUAAACUAAAACUUUCAACAACGGAUCUCUUGGUUCUGGCAUCGAUGAAGAACGCAGCGAAAUGCGAUAAGUAAUGUGAAUUGCAGAAUUCAGUGAAUCAUCGAAUCUUUGAACGCACAUUGCGCCCUUUGGUAUUCCGAAGGGCAUGCCUGUUCGAGCGUCAUUACAACCCUCAAGCUCUGCUUGGUAUUGGGCACCGUCCUUUGCGGGCGCGCCUCAAAGACCUCGGCGGUGGCGUCUUGCCUCAAGCGUAGUAGAACAUACAUCUCGCUUCGGAGCGCAGGGCGUCGCCCGACCGGACGAACCUUCUGAACUUUCUCAAGGUUGACCUCGGAUCAGGUAGGGAUACCCGCUGAACUUAAGCAUAUCAAUAA
Molecule: ribosomal RNA, 532 nt
Filed under: Botryosphaeria dothidea
Lineage: Eukaryota; Fungi; Ascomycota; Dothideomycetes; Botryosphaeriales; Botryosphaeriaceae
Description: eukaryotic LSU rRNA
Rfam family: 5.8S ribosomal RNA (bases 168-321)
Source: RNAcentral